GGGACCGGGCGCGGGCAGAGCGCGGCGGCGCGGGUGUAUUCCAGAGAAUAAGUCUUCAAACACCUUUGCCAUAUUGUCUCUGAGCUGUCAGGGGACUCAGGCUUAUGAGGAGGUACUGUCACACAAAACAGUGUCUAGUGAAGACGACAAGAAAGUGGGGAAAGGACUGGAAAAAGAAGCUAAAACACUAUAGGAAACCAUGAGAUCUAUUAGAUCUUUUGCCAAUGAUGAUCGCCAUGUAAUGGUGAAACAUUCAACAAUCUAUCCAUCUCCAGAGGAACUUGAAGCUGUUCAGAAUAUGGUGUCUACUGUUGAAUGUGCUCUUAAACAUGUCUCAGAUUGGCUUGAUGAAACAAAUAAAGGCACAAAAGCAGAGGGUGAGACAGAAGUGAAGAAGGAUGAGGCCGUAGACACCUAUUCCAAGGAUCAAGGUGGUCGGACAUUGUGUGGUGUAAUGAGGAUUGGCCUGGUUGCAAAAGGCUUGCUGAUUAAAGAUGAUAUGGACUUGGAGCUGGUUUUAAUGUGCAAAGACAAACCCACAGAGACCCUGUUAAAUACAGUCAAAGAUAAUCUUCCUAUUCAGAUUCAGAAACUCACAGAAGAGAAAUAUGAAGUGGAACAAUGUGUAGAUGAGGCUUCUAUUAUAAUUCGGAAUACAAAAGAGCCCACGCUAACUUUGAAGGUGAUACUUACUUCCCCGCUAAUUAGGGACGAAUUGGAGAAGAAGGAUGGAGAAAAGGUUGCGAUGAAAGAUCCUCCGGACUUACUGGACAGGCAGAAAUGCCUGGACGCCUUGGCGUCUCUUCGACAUGCCAAAUGGUUUCAGGCAAGGGCAAACGGAUUAAAAUCAUGUGUAAUUGUCCUCCGCAUUCUGCGUGAUUUGUGCAACAGAGUUCCCACAUGGGCACCAUUAAAAGGAUGGCCACUAGAGCUUAUAUGUGAAAAGUCUAUAGGUACUUGUAAUAGACCUUUGGGCGCUGGGGAGGCCUUGAGACGAGUAAUGGAGUGUUUGGCAUCUGGAAUACUACUUCCUGGUGGUCCUGGUCUUCAUGAUCCUUGUGAGCGAGACCCAACAGAUGCUUUGAGCUAUAUGACCAUCCAGCAAAAGGAAGAUAUUACCCACAGUGCACAGCAUGCACUCAGACUAUCAGCCUUUGGCCAGAUUUAUAAAGUGCUGGAGAUGGACCCCCUUCCAUCUAGUAAACCUUUUCAGAAAUAUUCCUGGUCAGUUACUGAUAAAGAAGGUGCCGGGUCUUCAGCUCUGAAGAGGCCAUUUGAAGAUGGAUUAGGGGAUGAUAAAGAUCCCAAUAAGAAGAUGAAACGAAACUUAAGGAAAAUUCUGGAUAGUAAAGCAAUAGACCUUAUGAAUGCACUAAUGAGGCUAAAUCAGAUCAGGCCUGGGCUUCAAUAUAAGCUCUUAUCUCAGUCUGGCCCUGUCCAUGCCCCAGUCUUCACAAUGUCUGUAGAUGUGGAUGGUACAACAUAUGAAGCCUCAGGGCCAUCCAAGAAAACAGCAAAACUUCAUGUAGCAGUGAAGGUAUUACAAGCAAUGGGAUACCCAACGGGCUUUGAUGCAGAUAUUGAAUGUAUGAGUUCCGAUGAAAAGUCAGACAAUGAAGGCAAAAAUGAAACAGUGUCUUCAAACUCAAGCAAUAAUACUGGAAAUUCUACAACUGAAACCUCCAGUACCUUAGAGGUAAGAACUCAGGGCCCUAUCCUCACAGCAAGUGGCAAAAAUCCUGUAAUGGAGCUCAAUGAAAAAAGAAGAGGUCUUAAGUAUGAACUCAUCUCGGAGACUGGUGGAAGCCAUGACAAACGCUUUGUAAUGGAGGUAGAAGUAGAUGGACAGAAAUUCAGAGGUGCAGGUCCAAAUAAGAAAGUGGCAAAGGCAAGUGCAGCUUUAGCUGCCCUGGAGAAGCUGUUUUCUGGACCCAAUGCAGCAAAUAAUAAGAAAAAGAAGAUUAUCCCUCAGGCAAAGGGUGUUGUGAAUACGGCUGUGUCUGCAGCGGUCCAAGCUGUUCGGGGCAGAGGAAGAGGAACUCUAACGAGGGGAGCUUUUGUUGGGGCUACAGCUGCUCCUGGCUACAUAGCUCCAGGCUACGGAGCACCGUAUGGUUACAGCACCGCUGCCCCUGCCUAUGGUGGUUUUUUCAUUGACAGCCCCUAUUGCCAGCCUCUGAGCGUCGCACCAUUUAUUAUUCACUUGGGCCCUCAAGAUUUCUUCUCUGACUUCUAGAACCAUCAGGUUGUCUGGCUUGAAAUGGCAAUUUCUGUCUUGGUCUUAAGAGCCUUGUGACCCCCUGAGGCUUUCCAGCUUUCAGAUACACCACUCUGACACCUUCUUUGGAAAGCGAUGACUGAGCAUUUUACAGAAGAGCAAUACUUUUAUUCAAAGCCACGGUGUCUGUUUUAAAACUUCUCCUUUGGAAACCUAGCAAUAUCUGUACUUAAGCCCUCCUAGCGUAGUCUCUUGUCCGGGAGUUUACAGACCAAUGGAGAACUUAGAAUCAGUGUGUGAGCUGUGCUAUCUUCUGACAGUUUUUUAAACUUUUUUAGCACAUAACUCGGGUAGUUGCGUUCCCGACUGCGUCAGUUAGCGCUAUUAUAAUUUCUCAGAGAUAGGGGUCCUCCUUGAAGCCAUAUUCUUUGCAUGGGGGCUGGCACCCAGCCAGGGAUGUGGCCUGCAGCCCCGGCUUCUUCCGGCUGCAGGAGCACCCCCUCUCUUGUGCAAGGUAAUUGGUCCAAUAGAUUCCCAACAUACCUCAUGCUGACUAGAUGCAGCGCAUGGUGCGUGCAGCAAGGAGUCCUGAGUCGUUUGUAGUCGCACAGAAAUCGUUAACCUGGGAACAAACCACUGAUAGAUUUUUCUGCUAUUAGCCUUUCCUUCUUUUUUUAAAAUUUGGGUGAAUGUUUGAAAAUCAUGAAUCAGUCAGUCACCGUUAUUAAUUGAAGAGCUGGGAAUACCUCGUUAAUGUAUUUUUAAAACUGGUGUUGGGCCCUCUGUGUAUUUCAGGUUAAUACUUUUAAGCAGUUUUCAGCACGUUUAUCUCACUUUAUUCUCGUUCUCCUCGGACCUUCGUAGCCAUAUCACUUGUAUAAAAUAGGCUGAGAUCUAGUGACUGUAAGCUGUGGUCUCAGUAAACAAAGUUUUGAGAGCCUGAAACCAACUCUGUUUUAUGUUCCUGGACCUCUCUCCAAGUAAGUGAAUGCAUUGAAAUGAAAAACAAUUAUUCCAGUCCUUUUUAAGCAGUUUUUAUAGUAUAGCAAAGACCAAAGUGGUUGCUGUAAACACUGACCACAUUUUUUUGACGACAAGUGAGGGGAGUUUUACCCUUACAAUCAAUCGUUCAUUAUAACUUGCCUGUUUAUUAGAUUUCUUUAAUAACUGCAGUGGAGGUAAAUGUUCAAUAGUGAGUUAGGGACACAAACUAAGACUUGCAGAUGCGCCUUCACCCUUUCCCCCAGCAGUUGGAUUUCUAGUAGUCGAGGGCCCUAAAAACUAGGGACAUUAAGAGCAGUUAAAGCUGAAAACAACCUGCUCUGUGAAUGGUCCUCCUGUACCUCCCACUCAGCACAGGCCAGUGCAUCCUCGGUGGUGGGGAGCAGGAUGUAGCAUGUCUCUGAAGUCCUCAGAGCAAGAAAGGUUCUGAUGCCACGCCAUGCGGUGACCAUAGGUCUCUCAGUGUCUGAAGGAGGCCUGGCAGGGAGACGGGCAGUAAAUGAAUAACAGCUGCAGAGUCCAGAAACUGCCUGCUGCUGGGGUGAGUUUCAGUCUGAUGUUUCUCUCUAGCAGUUACUUCCAGGGCACAAACUAGUACUUUUUAUGUAAGAGUGAGUCUCUUCCCUUCCUCAUCCCAUCUUCCAGAAAGACUGUUUUAAGUCAAGAAUUCAAGUUGAGUUAGUUGUAAGAAUAGAGAUCCUUUCCCACAUUAUCAUUUUAGGUAGGAGCUAACAGCUUCCAUUGAUACUUGAAGCAGUGAUCUUUGGAGAUUU
This is an RNA transcript of Herpailurus yagouaroundi (jaguarundi), 3993 nucleotides long. It is a transcript of the gene named spermatid perinuclear RNA binding protein, with no coding region annotated. NCBI's taxonomy places the organism in Eukaryota, Metazoa, Chordata, Mammalia, Carnivora, Felidae. The record is from RefSeq and is a predicted model, not a curated record. The transcript is spliced from 19 exons.